GGAUGCCUGCCAGACUCUGAAAACCAAGGUCCCUCCCCCAUGGCCUGGAGCUGUGUGUGCUGUAGGAACAGCCCCCAAGCAGCAGGGGGCAUGUUGGAAGGUCCAGCCAGCUUUGAGACUGUGCAGGUCCCCCUCCCUGCGUGAGGGCGGAGCUCCACCCCCUCCAGCCUCCUUCUCCUUUGAGGGGCGGAGCUCCACAGCCUCCAUCUUAUUCUUCUCCUCAUCACCAUGUAGAGCAGCACCGAAAGAUAGGGCUGGGCUCUGGGGUAGGCCCAAAAGCUCCUGCAUACCUACCUGGCCAUGAAGGGAGCUACCAGGUCUUACUGUACCUUCUCCCCAAACCCCUCAGCAGACAUUGUAAGCAACCAGCUCCCAACUUGAACCCAGGGGUGUAGGGGAGCAACGGCUGCCCCGCCAGCUAUAGGCCCAAGGGGGAGUCUGGCGCCAAGCCGCCGAAGCGGGCCCCCCAGGAACCUCAGAAGGCAUGCCGUCGGCCCAGACACACAAGGGACAAUGGCUGCUACCCGCAGAGACACUGAGCCCAGCCCUCACGUCCCCAUGAGUCGGCUUCAAAGUGGCUAAUGUUGGGACUGUUUGGUUCGCGCUCACGCUCAACACUGAGUGAAUGAACUGAGGUGGCAUACUGGGGGCUGUGCCCAGCCAGGACUGACCUCUUCAGGCCUCCGAUUCUGGCUCAGAGCAGCAGAGACCAAUUUCGUCAAGGCCUUCGUCUGGACAAGGGCUCACGCGACGCUACCCAGCCUGCGUGGCCCGCCCGGACCGUGAAGGGACAGUCCUCCCGGCUGCCUCUGGACACUACUCGGCCGCUAGGGUUCUCGCCACAGUCCUGCCCUCAACCAUAAUGAAUGGAGGAAUGAACACGGCCGAGGUCCUGGAUUCUCGCUCAGCCUCGUCUCUGCCAGUGUGUCCUGGGCCAGAGGCGGAGCCCCAGCCCCAUCCCCUUCAACCGGAGGGACCUCAGAAUUGUUGGUGUUUCCACGGGCCCCCUCCGGGACAAUGACUUUUGCUCAGCUGGUCCCCUGAAG
Molecule: long non-coding RNA, 1046 nt
Filed under: Monodelphis domestica (gray short-tailed opossum)
Lineage: Eukaryota; Metazoa; Chordata; Mammalia; Didelphimorphia; Didelphidae
Description: lncRNA (ENSMODG00000034607.2)
Source: RNAcentral